Larimichthys crocea (large yellow croaker) is the source of this 3463-nucleotide long non-coding RNA. RefSeq lists it as uncharacterized. The record is from RefSeq and is a predicted model, not a curated record. Lineage: Eukaryota; Metazoa; Chordata; Actinopteri; Sciaenidae. The transcript has 10 exons.
CUGUUCAAAAAGAUGGAGUGGAAAAAAAGCACGUGUUUGACGUUUCAAGAAAAAGGGCGUCCAAGUCCAGGUUUCUCCUGCAAACGGAUACGACGUCACGUUACCAGCGGCCACACCAUUCUCUACUUCCUCUUUCAAAGAAGAUAGCAAGAAAGUAACUGUGGAAAUCUCGACAAAGUUACUUGACCACAGCGUGAGAUAGCAGCAGAGCAGAGGUAGAAAGAAGCACCACAACCACCGAGGCCGAGUGUCAAGAGACCCGUCCAUCAAGAAUGAAGAGAAGUGAGCUUGCUUUUUCACUGACCUGCUGCAGGGCUGGCUAAUAUAUCCAGGCUUCCAAAUGAUAGGCUGACCUCUCCACCUCGGCCAGGACUGCAGUGCCACUCACAGCAUGAAAGCGAGCUGAAAACUCGUCUCCCCACCAAACACUUCACAUCGCUCUACAAUCUGCCUUCCUCCUCCACUUGCAUCUGAUUUAAAUCUACAAGCUCUACAAGGAAGGGGAAGUCCCACAGGGUGGUUUCCUUCAUCCAAGCAUUGAAGACAAGAGGCUGUCAAAACCUCAUCUGGAAUCCAGUGAAGGCUCUCUGUGGCCUGGUCUUGCUCCCAGCAUGGCAGGGCUGCAGCAGAGAAACCACAGAGGUAUAUUCUGUCUUGGGGGAAAAAGGAUCAAGCUUCUGUGGAACAGACAACACCUCCAGAGGGGAAGUGAAGGGAGAAGAUGAAGAGCGUUGGGAGUGCCAAUUACCUGUGGGCCCCAACCUCCAACCUCAAACCCCAGCCAGCUACUCGUCGCACCCUGCAGCUCCCGUCUCACGCUGCGGAGUAAUAAAGGGAAGUUAAGGGGCAGUAUUGAUCGGCCUAAAAGUAGUCUUUGAUUUUCCACGGAUCUGCGGAAGAAUGGAGGUUGAGAAGAAGAAGAAGAAGAAGAAGAAGAGGAGGAAGAAGAGGAGGAGGAGGAGAAGAGAGCUGAGCUAUUGAUGAGUUUUUCUCUCCCACGGCCCUCCACCAUGCAGCCGUUGGCCGUCUGGACACCCGCCACGUGUGAACAAGCUUUCAGCUCACAUCAUCUUCUCCACUUCCACCUAUAAUUGGCCAUAUGUGUCACCAGCACCCUGCUGCUGCUGCCGCUGCUGCUGCUGUGGGGAAGGAAAAGGAGAUCACAGCUUUGACAAGGAUGAACAGGAAAUCCCCCAAACAGCACCUGAGUGUCCAGCAAGCGUCAGAAGUGGAACCAGGCCGAGACAUUGGGGACGCAGAUUUAAAGGAAUGGCAGAGGAGGGCCCUGGCACUGUGUCUGGCCUCAUGACUUAGUGAGACACACUGGACCUCUGGAGACAGGCCACCAUCUGGUGUCUGUCACUGAAUAAGCUUGACACCAUGAUGAGGCUUCACAAUGUAUGUCUGCCUCUCUUUCUGUCUCUUUGCGUCAAUGACUUGAGCUCACAAAGACUGGCAACUGCCACCCUCCCUCCCUCUUUUGCUCACUCUUAAACCACCCUCCCUGUUCUUGCUCCUCAUCUCUCUCUCUGUAUAUCUCAGUCUGGUCUGAAGAUAGAUGAGAAUCUGCUGUGGGAUUAUGUACUGUGAGCUGCUAAUAAUGUUGAAGAGCCUCCUGGGCUCCCACUCCCGAAGCAGCGGUGCAAUAAAGCCAGGAGCUGGGAAAUACAUGGCUAUUUAAUGGAAACCGAAGCUUCUGAGCUGCUGUGCUAUAUUUACAGGUAGCCUUUCUGCCUCAGCUUUUUGCAUCCUGUGCUUGUCUGCCUUGCCUGCCCGCCCGUCAGCCACCUUGGAGGAGACCUGGCAUCUGCUGUUCCCUGUGACUCCCCUACAGCCUCCCACGCCACUGCCACAAACACACACUGCUCUGCUUGCACAGGCAAUAAAGCGAGAACUAGUGCGGGCGCAGUCAUGAUUGCUGUUAAAAGUGACACUUGGUUAUGCAGCAUAAAACAGGUGACAAAGAAAGAAAGGAAAUUUAACCGUUAUUCACAAAAUAUGAAGAAAAGAGGCAGGAUAGGCAGAAUCUCUUCAUCACAGUUUGUUGUUUGUUGUGCUUAGCGCGUCUGCCCAGUUUCCCAACUAUUCAAAUCUUGCCAUUUAGUUUGUACCAUCUGUCUCACACCGAUGUCAGAAUGAGUAUGACACAACAGGGCCACUGUUUUGUUGUCUUGUUCUAUUUAUUCCUCGAUAAUGAGAAAUCAGCAGAGGGACUGGCAUGGUGCUUGCUACCACACAUAUUCACCCAUGAAACUCUUCCUAGGCCAUAUGGCUUGUCUACAGGGGGGUACUUGACUCUUCUGACUCUGUGGCACCAGAAGCACAGAUCUUGAUCUCUCCUCUUCAGAGGGUUGUCAUAAAUCCUCACUACCAUGCAUCCUGCUUGAAAGAGAAUAACUUUUUUGCAGUGUCUCCACCGGGUAUUCUGUCAUCUCCCUGCGUGUAUUUUUACGGUAAUUGACAGGUGGCUUGAUUGUCAAAAAAGCAGCAGUAGCGACAAAUUUGGAGAGAAAACAUUCUGGACAAGUGACGACAGCCGUUUGGACAUGCUGUGGGAUUUAAGCUGUCAUAAUUGUCCUUCCUCUUUGUGGGACACUUUGUCUAUAUCCAGUAAUCCCAACUUUAGCCUCACGUGUGUUCAGUGUGUCAUGUCUCCCAAAGAGAAGACAGAUCCACGUGACUAAUUACGCACUCUUGGAAUGUUUGAAGGGGCACAGAUUGGGGAUGGCGUGCAUGCAAUGUUUAAUUCUACAUCGCCGCAUGAAGACUUUUAAAUCUAGUCUCGGCCCGGCUCUGCAGCAGCAGGCUCUGGCACAGACAAAACUUACAUGUAAUCUCCAGUGUCGCAAGCAAUAAUGCACGCUCUCUCUCUCUCACAGUGCAGUACCGUAGUUUAAAAGUGUCGAUGCACACUUCAGUAUACUGUAGUUAUUACAUGUUUCGUUUGAUUAAAAAUUCAACAAACAAAUGUCGAUUAGCAGCACAGCGGCAGUAAAAUCUGCCCAGUUCUGUGAUGUAUGUCUCUGAUUGAGUCUUUUUGUUCAGGAUGAAAAUUCAGGCAUGACACCCAAGGGUGACAGAGGUUAGUAAUUGAUAAUGACAUCAUUACACAAACCUUUUGUCAUGCACGCUGCAUCUAUUCCCUGCAUGCUCUUUCUCUGGGCUCCAUCUCUCAUUCUAUUGUCUUGAACAGAGAUGGGACACAAGAGCUUUUUUUUUUUUUUCACCACUGAAUUACAACCGCUGCUCAUCUCCCGUUUCAAUAAAUCCAUCAACUCAUAUCCUCUUUCCCUGAUUUCUCUGUCUUCAUGAUUGCCACGAGACUCUUAACAAUCCCUCCAGGAAUCACUGAUCCUACAGCUGAAUUAAUUAGUAUGUAACUGUAAAAGUUUGCUCUCGCUCUAUGGUCGAUGGAAACUUGAUGAUGAUUUUUAUCCCUAGAACAACAACCUGCUUGUGAUUG